Molecule: ribosomal RNA, 494 nt
Filed under: uncultured bacterium
Lineage: Bacteria
Description: partial 16S ribosomal RNA
Rfam family: Bacterial small subunit ribosomal RNA
Source: RNAcentral
GACGAACGCUGGCGGCGUGCUUAACACAUGCAAGUCGAACGGAAAGGCCUGCUUUCCCUUGUGGAUUGCGGGUACUCGAGUGGCGAACGGGUGAGUAACACGUGAGUGAUCUGCCCCCAACUUGGGUAUAAGCCUGGGAAACUGGGUCUAAUUCCCGAUAGGACUGCAGGGUGGUGCCUGUGGUGGAAAACGAUUUUCUAGUGGUUGGGGAUGAGCUCGCGGCCUAUCAGCUUGUUGGUGGGGUAAUGGCCUACCAAGGCGGCGACGGGUAGCCGGCCUGAGAGGGUGGACGGGCACAUUGGGACUGAGAUACCGCCCAGACUCCUACGGGAGGCAGCAGUGGGGAAUAUUGCACAAUGGGCGGAAGCCUGAUGCAGCGACGCCGCGUGGGGGAUGACGGCCUUCGGGUUGUAAACUCCUUUCGACCGCGAGGAAGCCACCUGGUUGGAAGGGUGGUGACGGUAGUGGUAGAAGAAGCACCGGCUAACUACGUG